This 708-nucleotide ribosomal RNA is filed under the name Salmonella enterica. RNAcentral describes it as "partial 23S ribosomal RNA". It matches the Rfam family "Bacterial large subunit ribosomal RNA", at positions 1 to 647 of the family's 2925-position model. Lineage: Bacteria; Pseudomonadati; Pseudomonadota; Gammaproteobacteria; Enterobacterales; Enterobacteriaceae. The record is from RNAcentral.
GGUUAAGCGACUAAGCGUACACGGUGGAUGCCCUGGCAGUCAGAGGCGAUGAAGGACGUGCUAAUCUGCGAUAAGCGCCGGUAAGGUGAUAUGAACCGUUAUAACCGGCGAUUUCCGAAUGGGGAAACCCAGUGUGACUCGUCACACUAUCAUUAACUGAAUCCAUAGGUUAAUGAGGCGAACCGGGGGAACUGAAACAUCUAAGUACCCCGAGGAAAAGAAAUCAACCGAGAUUCCCCCAGUAGCGGCGAGCGAACGGGGAGGAGCCCAGAGCCUGAAUCAGCAUGUGUGUUAGUGGAAGCGUCUGGAAAGGCGCGCGAUACAGGGUGACAGCCCCGUACACAAAAGCGCAUGUGUUGUGAGCUCGAUGAGUAGGGCGGGACACGUGGUAUCCUGUCUGAAUAUGGGGGGACCAUCCUCCAAGGCUAAAUACUCCUGACUGACCGAUAGUGAACCAGUACCGUGAGGGAAAGGCGAAAAGAACCCCGGCGAGGGGAGUGAAAAAGAACCUGAAACCGUGUACGUACAAGCAGUGGGAGCCCCACCACUAAGCCAGUGGUGAACUCCACAUACGCAUCCUUUGCUGAAGGUGCGGUUAACGGAGCGCAAGCGACGUUCAACCUCAAAAGAAGCAGAGGGGGCUUAGUGGUGGGGUGACUGCGUACCUUUUGUAUAAUGGGUCAGCGACUUAUAUUCUGUAGCAAGGUU